AGGAAGGAGAAGUCGUAACAAGGUUUCCGUAGGUGAACCUGCGGAAGGAUCAUUGUCGAAAGAGCGACCGUUGGACACGUAUAUCUUCACGGGGGUGGAUGGGUGCAUGCGCUGUGCCCUUCCCCCCUUCAAGUCGGGUGGGGACGGAUGGGUGGUGCCGGCCUCGUUGGGGUGCGGUUCCCCUCCCCUCCGUGCUCGGCCCGUACUAACAACCAAACUCCGGCGCGAGAAGCGCCAAGGAAAUUGUACCGACCGCGCGUGCCCACUAUGGCCCCGGAGACGGUGUGCCGAUUGGGCCCGCGCUGGACAUUUUUGUCGUGUAAACUUAACGACUCUCGGCAACGGAUAUCUCGGCUCUCGCAUCGAUGAAGAACGUAGCGAAAUGCGAUACUUGGUGUGAAUUGCAGAAUCCCGUGAACCAUCGAGUCUUUGAACGCAAGUUGCGCCCGACGCCUUCUGGCCGAGGGCACGUCUGCCUGGGUGUCACGCAUCGUCGCCCUCCCCCGCCUUCGCCUCAUCUCUUGGGGCGAGGAGUUGGGGGGGCGGAUGUUGGUCUCCCGUGUGCCUUGGCAUGCGGCUGGCUGAAAAUCACAGGACCACGGUGCACAACGCCGCGUCGCAUGGUGGAUGAGGUAAUCUCUAAGACCGGACGCGUGCGUCGCCGUUGCCUGACAGGACCCACUGCGCUGCGAUGCAGUGCCCUCCGACGCGACCCCAGGUCAGGCGGGACC
This 731-nucleotide small RNA is filed under the name Polygala tenuifolia. RNAcentral's name for it is "eukaryotic LSU rRNA". The stretch from base 331 to 486 matches the Rfam family "5.8S ribosomal RNA". The record is from RNAcentral. Lineage: Eukaryota; Viridiplantae; Streptophyta; Magnoliopsida; Fabales; Polygalaceae.